Molecule: ribosomal RNA, 130 nt
Filed under: uncultured bacterium
Lineage: Bacteria
Description: partial 16S ribosomal RNA
Rfam family: Bacterial small subunit ribosomal RNA
Source: RNAcentral
CCGCGUGCAGGAAGACUGCCCUAUGGGUUGUAAACUGCUUUUAUACAGGAAGAAACACUAGUACGUGUACUAGCUUGACGGUACUGUAAGAAUAAGGACCGGCUAACUCCGUGCCAGCAGCCGCGGUAAU